GUCUACUGCCAUACCACCCUGAACACGCCCAAUCUCAUCUGAUGUUGGAAGCUAAGCAGGGUCGGGCCUGGUUAGUACUUGGAUGGAAGAAUUACCCUUACCAAUUCCAAGGGUUUUUCU
RNAcentral lists this ribosomal RNA (120 nucleotides) under Cavia porcellus (domestic guinea pig). The record is from RNAcentral. Lineage: Eukaryota; Metazoa; Chordata; Mammalia; Rodentia; Caviidae.